AAUCAACGCUGGCGGCGCGCUUAACACAUGCAAGUCGCACGAGAAAGGGAGCAAUCCUGAGUAAAGUGGCGUACGGGUGAGUAACACGUGGGAAUCUACCUCUUGGCGGGGAAUAACCCUGGGAAACCGGGGCUAAUACCGCAUAAGCUCGUGAGAGGAAAGCAGCAAUGCACCGAGAGAGGAGCCCGCGGCCGAUUAGCUAGUUGGUGGGGUAAUGGCUCACCAAGGCGAAGAUCGGUGGCCGGCCGGGGGGGGCACACGGCCACACUGGCAAUGAAGCACGGACCAGACUCCUACGGGGGGCAGCAGUGGAGAGUCUUGCACGAGGGGGGAAACCCUGAUGCAGCGACGCCGCGUGAGCGAUGAAGCCCUUCGGAGUGUAAAGCUCUUUCGACAGGAACGAUAAUGACGGUACCUGGAGAAGAAGCUGCGGCUAACUACGUG
RNAcentral lists this ribosomal RNA (444 nucleotides) under uncultured bacterium. Its description in RNAcentral is "partial 16S ribosomal RNA". It matches the Rfam family "Bacterial small subunit ribosomal RNA", at positions 29 to 507 of the family's 1533-position model. The record is from RNAcentral.